CUGGCCCUGGGGCUCCGGCUGCUGCUGCCCCGGAACCCGUUGUUAAGAUUUUGGCAGCUCAUCACUGGAAGCAACACAAGCAUGGAAGCUAAAAAUAUGACUUCCUGUGCCAAGUCAACAGAACUGAAUUUGUCUGACAUAAAAAUACCUACAAGCUGAAAACAUCAAUUUAACAUCAACCGUGAGUUAUGAACACUUGAAAAUGUCAGUGACUGAUGAUACUGCAUUUAUUCAUGAUGCUGAUGAGCUGCAAAAAUUGAGUAUGUGGUUGGAUGCUCAAAUUUCAUUCACUCUGCAUAUUGAGGAAUGUGUUAGAAAAAAUGGGAUGGAUUCACUGAGGAUGCACCUGAAGAGAGGGUUGCAGCACUUGAAAAUGUUCACAAUUUCACUAAUACUACUGGACUUGAAACUGUCUAGCACUCCACAAGAACACGGUCAGUGUGUAUCACUGCCGCAGUCUCCACUAGCAGAACUCACAGUUGUCUUCUCCUAAGAGAUAUCCAUGAAGAGUCCUCCUGAAGUGGUGUGAAAAGGAAAAUGGCUGAACUGCUGGUGCAGAGUUGACAAACUAUUUUUAACUCUGUUUCAGGAAUGAAAAUGAGACUGAGGCUUGUGCUGAAAAUGAUUUCACACUCUUUAUACUAAUUAAACCAUUUUCAAAGCCAGUUCAAGGGAACCAGUGCUAUCAACCAGUGUCAGCAAUGGGUUAAUUUCCUGGUGUAGAUGAAGCCUUUAAUGUAAGAGAUUGCUGUGAAGAAGCAUACUCUGCUCUGGCGAGCCCUAGUUGCAGGUGAUUGUAACUCAAAGGAGUUCUGAGGUAUCCAGUGAACAAUUUCUGCUAAUGGAUACAGUAAUAAAAAAAUCAUGAAUUUGGCUGGCAGUUGGCAAAAUAAAUAAAUAAAUAAAUAAA
Molecule: long non-coding RNA, 910 nt
Organism: Mauremys mutica (yellowpond turtle)
Lineage: Eukaryota; Metazoa; Chordata; Testudines; Geoemydidae
Exons: 4
Source: RefSeq, a predicted model, not a curated record